This 77-nucleotide transfer RNA is filed under the name Candidatus Peregrinibacteria bacterium CG_4_10_14_0_2_um_filter_38_24. RNAcentral's name for it is "tRNA-Val". It matches the Rfam family "tRNA". From Rfam's summary of the family: Transfer RNA (tRNA) molecules are approximately 80 nucleotides in length. Their secondary structure includes four short double-helical elements and three loops (D, anti-codon, and T loops). Further hydrogen bonds mediate the characteristic L-shaped molecular structure. tRNAs have two regions of fundamental functional importance: the anti-codon, which is responsible for specific mRNA codon recognition, and the 3' end, to which the tRNAs corresponding amino acid is attached (by aminoacyl-tRNA synthetases). tRNAs cope with the degeneracy of the genetic code in two manners: having more than one tRNA (with a specific anti-codon) for a particular amino acid; and 'wobble' base-pairing, i.e. permitting non-standard base-pairing at the 3rd anti-codon position. Lineage: Bacteria; Candidatus Peregrinibacteriota. The record is from RNAcentral. RNAcentral also lists the same sequence under 1 other name.
GGGCGUUUAGCUCAGUUGGCUAGAGCAUCUCGUUUACACCGAGAGGGUCGGGGGUUCGAAUCCCUCAACGCCCACCA